RNAcentral lists this ribosomal RNA (253 nucleotides) under uncultured bacterium. Its description in RNAcentral is "partial 16S ribosomal RNA". It matches the Rfam family "Bacterial small subunit ribosomal RNA", at positions 524 to 776 of the family's 1533-position model. The record is from RNAcentral.
UACAGAGGUCUCAAGCGUUGUUCGGAAUUACUGGGCGUAAAGGGCUCGUAGGUGGCCAACUAAGUCAGACGUGAAAUCCCCAGGCUCAACUUGGGAACUGCGUCUGAUACUGGAUGGCUUGAAUUCGGGAGAGGGAUGCAGAGUUCCAGGUGUAGCGGUGAAAUGCGCAGAUAUCAGGAGGAACACCGGUGGCGAAGGCGGGUCUCUGGGCAACAACUGACGCUGAGGAGCGAAAGCGUGGGGAGCGAACAGG